AUGGCCCUCCUCCUCCGGCCUCCUCGUCGUCCUGCCAUGGACGCCGAGCUUGAAGCUCCGGCCGACCCUGCCUCCAUGACCUUUGCCGAGCAGUCCCUCUCCUGGAGCCGCUCGCUGCUGUUGCUUUCCAUCGAGGCGCCAAGUUCCGUCGAUCUGCAGUCAUCUCCCUCGCGCCUUUCCUCCUCGCCGGCGUUCUGCUCGAGGACCAGCCCCGCGCACCCUUGUGCUCGUGGGCAGGGGACCCCAAGAGCGCCGCGCCGUCUCCCUGCCUCAUCUACGGUGCCGGCGUCAACAACAGAAGUGGACCGGAGCCCCUACCUUGCUCCACCACGUCGCCGACCUCUUGCCGUGGCCUCCUCCUCGCUUCAAGUCCUUGCUGUCAAGCAUCAUGUCGCCGCCCUGCUACGUUCGUCACCGGAGAUCGCCAGAUCCGGUCGCGUUGGGUCGGAUCCUCCCGUCCCUGCCUUGCUGCUGCCCACCAGAGGCCUUCCGUCUCGCGUGUGUUUUGGAUCAGCAAGGAUGAGACACCAAGAACCCAAGAACCCUACCCGGACCAGCAAGCACCUUCUCCGAGGAUUUUGCCAAGUACCGUGA
Molecule: ribosomal RNA, 594 nt
Filed under: Triticum aestivum (bread wheat)
Lineage: Eukaryota; Viridiplantae; Streptophyta; Magnoliopsida; Poales; Poaceae
Description: partial small subunit ribosomal RNA
Source: RNAcentral